AUUGAACGCUGGCGGCAUGCCUUACACAUGCAAGUCGAACGGCAGCACGGGUGCUUGCACCUGGUGGCGAGUGGCGAACGGGUGAGUAAUAUAUCGGAACGUACCUUAUUGUGGGGGAUAACGCAGCGAAAGCUGUGCUAAUACCGCAUAAUCCCUAAGGGGGAAAGCGGGGGACCGUAAGGCCUCGCGCAAUUAGAGCGGCCGAUACCUGAUUAGCUAGUUGGUGAGGUAAAGGCUCACCAAGGCAACGAUCAGUAGCUGGUCUGAGAGGACGAUCAGCCACACUGGGACUGAGACACGGCCCAGACUACUACGGGAGGCAGCAGUGGUGAAUUUUGGACAAUGGGGGCAACCCUGAUCCAGCAAUGCCGCGUGAGUGAAGAAGGCCUUCGGGUUGUAAAGCUCUUUUGUCAGGGAAGAAACAGCAGCUCUAACACAGUAUGCGAAUGACGGUACCUGCAGAAUAAGCACCGGCUAACUACGUGCCAGCAGCCGCGGUAA
RNAcentral lists this ribosomal RNA (501 nucleotides) under uncultured bacterium. RNAcentral's name for it is "partial 16S ribosomal RNA". It matches the Rfam family "Bacterial small subunit ribosomal RNA", at positions 30 to 523 of the family's 1533-position model. The record is from RNAcentral.